AAUGUAAAAUUUAUAUUAGUUGUUUAAAAAAAAUAUUUUUAUAGUUAGUAGUUUAAUGAAUAUUAUUUUUAUAUUAUAGUUAAUUGUAUAGUGAUAGGGUGUUGAAAUAUAUUAAAAUUUAAAUUUUAGGUAAAGAAGAUUUUAUUUAUUGUACCUUGUGUAUCAGGGUUUAUUAAAAUAAUUUAAUUAGUUAGUUUUCUCGAGUUAAUAAGAGUUAAUAUUAUAUAGAUUUAAUUGUGUCAUAAAUUUUUAUAAUAUAAUAUUAGAAAUGAAACGUUAUUCGUUUUUUAAGAUAUCUAGUUUUUUAAGAAAUAAAUUUAAUUUAGUUUAUAGUGUUUUAUUAUUUUAAUUAGUUAAUAUAAUAAAUAUAUGAUUAAAUAUUUUAAGGGAUAAGCUUUAGAAUAGAUUAUUAUAAUAAUAAUAUUUUAAGAUGAAUAAUUGUAGGAUUGGAAAUUUUUAUCUAUAGUAUGUUAUAAUUAAUUUUCAUUUAUGAUAAUAUUUAUAUUGUAGUUUAAGUUAUUUAUUAAAAUGGCGUAUUAAAUAUGGAAUUAUUAGUAAUAAUGAUAAAAUUAGUAUAAUUUAGUUUAUUAUUAUAUUUUAGGGUUUAGGUUAAAUUAAGGAACUCGGCAAAUAAAUUUUCCGCCUGUUUAUUAAAAACAUGUCUUUUUGAAUAUAAUUUAAAGUCUGACCUGCCCAAUGAGGAGUUGAAUGGCCGCGGUAUUUUGACCGUGCAAAGGUAGCAUAAUCAUUAGUUUUUUAAUUGAAAGCUGGAAUGAAUGGUUGGACGAGAAAAAAGCUGUCUCAAUUUAAUUUAAAUUAGAACUUUAUUUUUAAGUAAAAAAGCUUAAAUAAUUUUAAAAGACGAGAAGACCCUAUAGAGUUUUAUAUUUUUUUAUUUGUUUAUAGUUUAGUAUUAUAGAGGUUUUCAUAUUAAAAAAUAUUUUGUUGGGGUGAUAGAAAAAUUUAAUAAACUUUUUUUAUACAUUAAACAUUAAUGUAUGAAUUUUUGAUCCAUUUAUUAUGAUUAUAAGAUUAAAUUACCUUAGGGAUAACAGCGUAAUUUUUUUUGAGAGUUCAUAUCGAAAAAAGAGUUUGCGACCUCGAUGUUGGAUUAAAAUUUACUUUUGGUGUAGGAGCUAGAAGGUUAGGUCUGUUCGACCUUUAAAAUUUUACAUGAUCUGAGUUUAAACCGGCGUGAGCCAGGUUGGUUUCUAUCUUUAAAUAGAGAAAAUAUUUUAGUACGAAAGGACCAAAUAUUUAUAACAUUUAUUAUAAAUUGAUUAUUAUU
This 1288-nucleotide ribosomal RNA is filed under the name Eudicella quadrimaculata. RNAcentral describes it as "16S ribosomal RNA". The stretch from base 1048 to 1206 matches the Rfam family "Archaeal large subunit ribosomal RNA", at positions 2542 to 2701 of the family's 2987-position model. The record is from RNAcentral. Lineage: Eukaryota; Metazoa; Arthropoda; Insecta; Coleoptera; Scarabaeidae.